Molecule: long non-coding RNA, 2271 nt
Organism: Rosa rugosa (rugosa rose)
Lineage: Eukaryota; Viridiplantae; Streptophyta; Magnoliopsida; Rosales; Rosaceae
Exons: 3
Source: RefSeq, a predicted model, not a curated record
CGUUUUCUUCUUCCUCUCCCCGAGCUGUCGCUCUCCCUUUCUCUCCUCUGCAACUCCGGUUGCUUUCUCUUUCCGGCCACCAAAAAGCGUGAAACCGGUGGCUACGGACUCGUCUCGACUUCCUCUUGGCGCUGGCGGUGGUGGCUCACGGCGGCUUGGCCAGAAAACGACGCAUCAAGCCUUAGAAGUUUACUGUAGCAGUUUGAGUCAACGCCGAUUUCUUCCUAUUCCGGCCACCUCCGACGACGAACCAUAAUCAUUUGGAAGCGGCUUCCGAUGUAGAUGAUGCUCCCCAAAUCUUUUGCAACGAUUUGCAGUGUAGAGGAAGAAUCGACGAUUGGAAGAUUACGGUCACUAUUCACAGUUUGAGUUCAAGCUUCUCCUUAAUUGUUGAGGGCAAUGCCGCGAGCUACGGUUAAAUGAAGGAACUCGUUUGCGUGGUCGCCCAAUAGUACUUUUGCGGGCGAAAUUAGUUGAGGUCGGGCGUACAUGGAGUCGAGGCAUAGCCAACAGCAUUGCUUCCGCGUACUCAUUCUAUUUCUGUUUUCUUUGUUACCUAGUGGAUUAGUAUUGCUCUGAUAACCUAUGGGAUUAAUAUUGUUUUUGGGUUGAGACUGAUAUUUGUGAAAUUGGAGUUGUGAUUUGGGGAGCAGAUGGCUCCAGAAGAUUAAGGAUGGAUGAUUUAGAAGUGUAAAUGUUUUCCUACAGGUUUUGGGUACCCUACUUUUAGGGGAAGUUCCGCCAAAUUUUUGGUAGAAUCUCUUCUAAAGUGGGCCCCGCAGGGCCACUUCGGAUUUCAGGGUGAAAUCUGGGGCGGGUCCUGUCAAUAUUUUUGUAUACAACUAAUAAACAAGUUGGACCAUAUUAGUAGGCAUAUCCAUAUUUUGUGCUAUCCAAACACUCAAAACUAAUACGUGUAGACAAAUUAACUUGAUCAGCUGUCAUUUUGACGUCAAAUACCCCUUAUACACUAAUACUUUCCUAAGGGGAGUUGAACCAUUAGGAGAUAAACUCUGAAAUUUUUAUAUUGGUUGGUAUAUCUCAUACCCACAAGAGCGUGAGAGCUGACAGAUCAAAAAAAUAAGAUCCGAAUGACCGGUUAUGAGCAUAUUAGUUUUAUGUGGUAUUUAGGGUUUAUCGUUGACCCAUUAGAUCAAGACCCAAACGACCACAAAAAUAGCUGAAAUUUUGACCAUUGCAAUUUCUUCCUACCAUGAUAACAUCCAAUGGUCGAUUUUGAUAAAUUCUAUUUUUUCCACUUUGUUGCUUAUGGAAGGUAUAUUUUUGUAUACAGCUAAUAAACAAGUUAGACCAUAUUAGUAGACAUAUCAAGAUUUUGUGCGAUCCAAAAAUCGAAACUGAAAGUUGAUAAAUCUGACAUUACCCAUCUAUUUAUAGAGUAUUAAUAGGUAUUGUGCAAAAAAAAAAUUACUCGAUCUGCCGUCAUUUUGACAUAAAACAAAGUGGUCAACCCUUUAUGCACUUAUACUUCCCUAAGGGGAGCUGAAUCACUAGGAAAUGAACUUCCCUAAAUUUUUACAUUGAUUGAUAUAGCUCGUACCCACGAGAGCGUGAGAGUUGACAGAUUGAAAAAAGAAGUUGUGAAAGACCGGUUAUAAGCAUAUUAGUUUUAUGUGGUACUUAGGAUUUGGAGUUGACCUAGUAGAUCAAGAUCCAGACAACGAUGAAAAUAGCUGAAAUUUUCACCAUAACUAUUUCUUCUUAUCAUGAUAACAUCCAACGGUCGAUUUUGAUAAUUUAUGUUUCCUCCAUGUGGUCAUUAUGCUAUCGAUCAACGUAGAUGGUGUGUGUGUGUGUAUUAUGGUUGACUUAGUGGAUCGAAAUCGAAACUAUAACGAAAUUGACUAAAUUUUUUACAAUAUACAUAAAAUAUUUCAAUACUCUCAUCCAAUUGUCGGCUUCCUCAUUUUUGUAUUUCUCGAAGGAAUUGCCCUUUGAGAAAUUUGAUAUAUAUAUAUAUGGUUAUACCUUUAAUUAUGGUUGGCCAUGCGUAUCGAAGUCGAAACGAAUAUGAAAUUAGUAGAAUUUUUAAGAACAACCAUAAAAAAUUUCGGGUCUUUCUAAAUGUACCCAGCAAAGUUCUAAGUAUACCCAGCAAAUUUAUUUAUUUUUAAAGAUAUCUAAUUAAACAACAUAGUUUCCCAAGUUACCCUUAUCUUGUACCCAGCAAAAAAACACAACGAUGAAAAUUUCCCAGUGUAGGUACUGUAGGUCAGAGAGAUGGAGGACAAAAAAUCUAAUUGUUGGCAU